GGAUAGGGCUCUGAAUGCAGAAGCCUUCUUAGAGAUCAUAAAGGGGGAAAUACCCAUGAGGAUCAGCAUCCGUCUUGGUCUGCUUGGGCUCUGAUGACAAAAUACCAUAAGCUAGCUUCCUGAAGAAAAUCAAGAAAAAUAAAGCUAUAGUCCGGAAAUGGGCCUACAGACAGAAAGCAAAUGAAUCCUGAAGGUCAAGAGGCCCCUGGCAGCCUGCUAAUCCAUCCUACUCCUGAAGUCACUCCUGGCAGAUCCAGAUCCAGCCAGCUCCAAUACAUUGAAGAAAGCAGAAUCUUAGGGGUGUGUAUUAAGGGCCGUAAAGGGAGGAUUCGCAGCAUGCUUGUAACCUCUUUGGGGUCCUGACCUGGCGGCCGCCCAACUUGCCAUAUGAAUUUUGUGAUGCCACUCUCCA
Molecule: long non-coding RNA, 412 nt
Organism: Mastomys coucha (southern multimammate mouse)
Lineage: Eukaryota; Metazoa; Chordata; Mammalia; Rodentia; Muridae
Exons: 3
Source: RefSeq, a predicted model, not a curated record